Molecule: ribosomal RNA, 662 nt
Filed under: Halomonas sp. WH10-7-2
Lineage: Bacteria; Pseudomonadati; Pseudomonadota; Gammaproteobacteria; Oceanospirillales; Halomonadaceae
Description: bacterial SSU rRNA
Rfam family: Bacterial small subunit ribosomal RNA
Source: RNAcentral
AUGCAAGUCGAGCGGUAACAGGUCCAGCUUGCUGGAUGCUGACGAGCGGCGGACGGGUGAGUAACGCAUAGGAAUCUACCCGGUAGUGGGGGAUAACCUGGGGAAACCCAGGCUAAUACCGCAUACGUCCUACGGGAGAAAGGGGGCUUUGGCUCCCGCUAUUGGAUGAGCCUAUGCCGGAUUAGCUGGUUGGUGAGGUAAUGGCUCACCAAGGCGACGAUCCGUAGCUGGUCUGAGAGGAUGAUCAGCCACAUCGGGACUGAGACACGGCCCGAACUCCUACGGGAGGCAGCAGUGGGGAAUAUUGGACAAUGGGGGCAACCCUGAUCCAGCCAUGCCGCGUGUGUGAAGAAGGCCCUCGGGUUGUAAAGCACUUUCAGCGAGGAAGAACGCCUGUCGGUUAAUACCCGGCAGGAAAGACAUCACUCGCAGAAGAAGCACCGGCUAACUCCGUGCCAGCAGCCGCGGUAAUACGGAGGGUGCAAGCGUUAAUCGGAAUUACUGGGCGUAAAGCGCGCGUAGGUGGCUUGAUAAGCCGGUUGUGAAAGCCCCGGGCUCAACCUGGGAACGGCAUCCGGAACUAUUAGGCUAGAGUGCAGGAGAGGAAGGUAGAAUUCCCGGUGUAGCGGUGAAAUGCGUAGAGAUCGGGAGGAAUACCAGUG